GUUUCCAGUUAAGGUAGGCCGCAAGUUACAAGGCGGAAAUGGAGAAAAUGGAGCUCUCACGUGGUUGCUUAUCUGCUGACCCACCUUAAUGACGUGGAGCCACCUUACAGCUGCCCCGGCAACUUCUCUACCUUUCCAAGAAUCCUCUCUCAGCUUCUCCAACCCUGAAGCCAGGCGUAUGUUUAACUCCCACGUGCAGAGCACCAGCUUCUCCUACAAGAGGAUGCCCAUGCCAGUGUGGUCAGAGAUGCCCACACCUCAGAGAGAGCCCUCCCCUGGACUGGAGGUAUAAGGACAUGAGCCAGGUAACCGCACCUGUGGAAAGUCCACCGGUUCAUUUUGAGAAUUCGUGUUAGUAUUCAUGCAGCAGCUGGGGCCUUACCUGGGAAGAGAUAAAUAGCCCCCAAGCAUUUGCCUUGUAAAACCUUGCCAACAACCCAUCAUUAAAACUCAAAGAGCCUGUAUUUCUCUAUCAAUGAACAUAAAUACACUGCAUUAAAAUGAACUCUUGCUAUACGCCUCACCAAACUCCAAGUUCUCUGAGUGGACAGAGAUGGGAGCUAGACAUCUACAAAAAUUUGCACUCGGAGUGCUGGUUACAGCGAGACACCAUUAGAGAGAAAGGGCGUUCUCCUCCUCCUGCAUGGACCACAGAACUACUAUCACCCCUUGAGGACUGUCGGCUCUGAGAGAAGCAACGGUGAGUGUUUUCAUGGUGAACGGCUGCUGUGGUUGUCGGAGGCACUGUCCCAUGGCUUAGUGGAUGGCCAUCAGAUGGAGAUGGGACAUGAGGAACAAAAAUGCCAGAGAAGCUUGCUGGAAGAUGGUUUGAGAUUAGGAC
Long non-coding RNA from Leopardus geoffroyi (Geoffroy's cat), 841 nucleotides. RefSeq lists it as uncharacterized. Lineage: Eukaryota; Metazoa; Chordata; Mammalia; Carnivora; Felidae. The transcript has 5 exons. The record is from RefSeq and is a predicted model, not a curated record.